This 552-nucleotide ribosomal RNA is filed under the name Conus floccatus. RNAcentral describes it as "partial 12S ribosomal RNA". Lineage: Eukaryota; Metazoa; Mollusca; Gastropoda; Neogastropoda; Conidae. The record is from RNAcentral.
AACCAAGAAAUUUAGUCAUUCUUUUAUGGUAAAAAGACAGUUAGGCAGGGAUAGGUGAAAUUAUUGGACCUUUAGUAAAGGAGUAAAAUCUAAAUACUAAAAGUUAUACCAGAGAUAAUUUAUUUAAGAUGUUGAAUCUGUGACAGCUUUAAGGGAAACUGGGAUUGGAUACCCCAUUAUUUUUAGUUAUAAAUUCAGCUUAAGCUUACCGGAGUACUACGAAUAAAAAGUUUAAAACUCAAAGGGCUUGGCGGUGUUUUAGACCUCUCAGGGGAACCUGUCUCGUAAUCGACAAUCCACGUUAGACCUAACCUUUUAUAGUAAUACAGCUUGUAUACCGUCGUCGUCAGGUAACUUCUUAAAAUGUAGCAGUUAGCUUGAGAAUUUGAUUAAUUAGAACGUCAGAUCAAGGUGCAGCUAAUGAAGGGGUGAGGAUGGGUUACAAUUACAUAUUUGUAAAUACGGAAAAAUACUUGAAAUGAAGUAUCUUAAAGGAGGACUUGAAAGUAAUUCUAUUUAUAUAAAUAGAAUGAAUAAGGCUCUGAAACGUGC